CGGUAAUACGUAGGUGGCAAGCGUUGUCCGGAAUGAUUGGGCGUAAAGGGAGCGCAGGUGGGAAAGUAAGUCCCUCUUAAAAGUUCGGGGCUCAACCCCGUGAUGGGAGAGAAACUACAUUUCUUGAGUGCAGGAGAGGAAAGCGGAAUUCCUAGUGUAGCGGUGAAAUGCGUAGAUAUUAGGAGGAACACCAGUGGCGAAGGCGGCUUACUGGACUGUAACUGACGUUGAGGCUCGAAAGCGUGGGGAGCAAACAGGAUUAGAUACCCUGGUAGUCCACGCUGUAAACGAUGAUNACUAGGUGUUGGGGAGCUAUAGCUCUNCGGUGCCGCCGCUAACGCAAUAAGUAAUCCCCUGGGGAGUACGUUCGCAAAAUGAACUCAAGGAUUGGCGGGAACCNCCCANCGGUGGAGCUGUGUUUAUUC
Molecule: ribosomal RNA, 425 nt
Filed under: uncultured bacterium
Lineage: Bacteria
Description: bacterial SSU rRNA
Rfam family: Bacterial small subunit ribosomal RNA
Source: RNAcentral